This 449-nucleotide ribosomal RNA is filed under the name uncultured bacterium. RNAcentral's name for it is "bacterial SSU rRNA". It matches the Rfam family "Bacterial small subunit ribosomal RNA", at positions 355 to 825 of the family's 1533-position model. The record is from RNAcentral.
UGGGGAAUCUUGGACAAUAGGGCGCAAGCCUGAUCCAGCCAUGCCGCGUGAGUGAAGAAGGCCUUAGGGUUGUAAAGCUCUUUUACCAGGGACGAUAAUGACGGUACCUGGAGAAUAAGCCCCGGCAAACUUCGUGCCAGCAGCCGCGGUAAUACGAAGGGGGCUAGCGUUGUUCGGAAUUACUGGGCGUAAAGCGCACGUAGGCGGGUCGUUAAGUCAGGGGUGAAAUCCCGGAGCUCAACUCCGGAACUGCCCUUUGAUACUGGCGAUCUAGAGGUCGAGAGAGGUGAGUGGAAUUCCGAGUGUAGAGGUGAAAUUCGUAGAUAUUCGGAAGAACACCAGUGGCGAAGGCGGCUCACUGGCUCGAUACUGACGCUGAGGUGCGAAAGCGUGGGGAGCAAACAGGAUUAGAUACCCCAGUAGUCCCUGAGCGGGCUGGCAAGGCGCAU